This 2765-nucleotide ribosomal RNA is filed under the name Escherichia coli O26:H11. RNAcentral describes it as "bacterial LSU rRNA". It matches the Rfam family "Bacterial large subunit ribosomal RNA". Lineage: Bacteria; Pseudomonadati; Pseudomonadota; Gammaproteobacteria; Enterobacterales; Enterobacteriaceae. The record is from RNAcentral.
AGCGUACACGGUGGAUGCCCUGGCAGUCAGAGGCGAUGAAGGACGUGCUAAUCUGCGAUAAGCGUCGGUAAGGUGAUAUGAACCGUUAUAACCGGCGAUUUCCGAAUGGGGAAACCCAGUGUGUUUCGACACACUAUCAUUAACUGAAUCCAUAGGUUAAUGAGGCGAACCGGGGGAACUGAAACAUCUAAGUACCCCGAGGAAAAGAAAUCAACCGAGAUUCCCCCAGUAGCGGCGAGCGAACGGGGAGCAGCCCAGAGCCUGAAUCAGUAUGUGUGUUAGUGGAAGCGUCUGGAAAGGCGCGCGAUACAGGGUGACAGCCCCGUACACAAAAAUGCACAUGCUGUGAGCUCGAUGAGUAGGGCGGGACACGUGGUAUCCUGUCUGAAUAUGGGGGGACCAUCCUCCAAGGCUAAAUACUCCUGACUGACCGAUAGUGAACCAGUACCGUGAGGGAAAGGCGAAAAGAACCCCGGCGAGGGGAGUGAAAAAGAACCUGAAACCGUGUACGUACAAGCAGUGGGAGCUCGCUUAGGCGUGUGACUGCGUACCUUUUGUAUAAUGGGUCAGCGACUUAUAUUCUGUAGCAAGGUUAACCGAAUAGGGGAGCCGAAGGGAAACCGAGUCUUAACUGGGCGUUAAGUUGCAGGGUAUAGACCCGAAACCCGGUGAUCUAGCCAUGGGCAGGUUGAAGGUUGGGUAACACUAACUGGAGGACCGAACCGACUAAUGUUGAAAAAUUAGCGGAUGACUUGUGGCUGGGGGUGAAAGGCCAAUCAAACCGGGAGAUAGCUGGUUCUCCCCGAAAGCUAUUUAGGUAGCGCCUCGUGAAUUCAUCUCCGGGGGUAGAGCACUGUUUCGGCAAGGGGGUCAUCCCGACUUACCAACCCGAUGCAAACUGCGAAUACCGGAGAAUGUUAUCACGGGAGACACACGGCGGGUGCUAACGUCCGUCGUGAAGAGGGAAACAACCCAGACCGCCAGCUAAGGUCCCAAAGUCAUGGUUAAGUGGGAAACGAUGUGGGAAGGCCCAGACAGCCAGGAUGUUGGCUUAGAAGCAGCCAUCAUUUAAAGAAAGCGUAAUAGCUCACUGGUCGAGUCGGCCUGCGCGGAAGAUGUAACGGGGCUAAACCAUGCACCGAAGCUGCGGCAGCGACGCUUAUGCGUUGUUGGGUAGGGGAGCGUUCUGUAAGCCUGCGAAGGUGUGCUGUGAGGCAUGCUGGAGGUAUCAGAAGUGCGAAUGCUGACAUAAGUAACGAUAAAGCGGGUGAAAAGCCCGCUCGCCGGAAGACCAAGGGUUCCUGUCCAACGUUAAUCGGGGCAGGGUGAGUCGACCCCUAAGGCGAGGCCGAAAGGCGUAGUCGAUGGGAAACAGGUUAAUAUUCCUGUACUUGGUGUUACUGCGAAGGGGGGACGGAGAAGGCUAUGUUGGCCGGGCGACGGUUGUCCCGGUUUAAGCGUGUAGGCUGGUUUUCCAGGCAAAUCCGGAAAAUCAAGGCUGAGGCGUGAUGACGAGGCACUACGGUGCUGAAGCAACAAAUGCCCUGCUUCCAGGAAAAGCCUCUAAGCAUCAGGUAACAUCAAAUCGUACCCCAAACCGACACAGGUGGUCAGGUAGAGAAUACCAAGGCGCUUGAGAGAACUCGGGUGAAGGAACUAGGCAAAAUGGUGCCGUAACUUCGGGAGAAGGCACGCUGAUAUGUAGGUGAAGUCCCUCGCGGAUGGAGCUGAAAUCAGUCGAAGAUACCAGCUGGCUGCAACUGUUUAUUAAAAACACAGCACUGUGCAAACACGAAAGUGGACGUAUACGGUGUGACGCCUGCCCGGUGCCGGAAGGUUAAUUGAUGGGGUUAGCGCAAGCGAAGCUCUUGAUCGAAGCCCCGGUAAACGGCGGCCGUAACUAUAACGGUCCUAAGGUAGCGAAAUUCCUUGUCGGGUAAGUUCCGACCUGCACGAAUGGCGUAAUGAUGGCCAGGCUGUCUCCACCCGAGACUCAGUGAAAUUGAACUCGCUGUGAAGAUGCAGUGUACCCGCGGCAAGACGGAAAGACCCCGUGAACCUUUACUAUAGCUUGACACUGAACAUUGAGCCUUGAUGUGUAGGAUAGGUGGGAGGCUUUGAAGUGUGGACGCCAGUCUGCAUGGAGCCGACCUUGAAAUACCACCCUUUAAUGUUUGAUGUUCUAACGUUGACCCGUAAUCCGGGUUGCGGACAGUGUCUGGUGGGUAGUUUGACUGGGGCGGUCUCCUCCUAAAGAGUAACGGAGGAGCACGAAGGUUGGCUAAUCCUGGUCGGACAUCAGGAGGUUAGUGCAAUGGCAUAAGCCAGCUUGACUGCGAGCGUGACGGCGCGAGCAGGUGCGAAAGCAGGUCAUAGUGAUCCGGUGGUUCUGAAUGGAAGGGCCAUCGCUCAACGGAUAAAAGGUACUCCGGGGAUAACAGGCUGAUACCGCCCAAGAGUUCAUAUCGACGGCGGUGUUUGGCACCUCGAUGUCGGCUCAUCACAUCCUGGGGCUGAAGUAGGUCCCAAGGGUAUGGCUGUUCGCCAUUUAAAGUGGUACGCGAGCUGGGUUUAGAACGUCGUGAGACAGUUCGGUCCCUAUCUGCCGUGGGCGCUGGAGAACUGAGGGGGGCUGCUCCUAGUACGAGAGGACCGGAGUGGACGCAUCACUGGUGUUCGGGUUGUCAUGCCAAUGGCACUGCCCGGUAGCUAAAUGCGGAAGAGAUAAGUGCUGAAAGCAUCUAAGCACGAAACUUGCCCCGAGA